GCUGCGCAGUGGGAGUUGUAGCCAUGGGAACAACCUAGGGACCUGGCAAGGAAAGACUAGGCCAGACCUUAGCACCCCCUGUCAGGGACUUCCUGCUGGUUAAUCCUGCUUCCUCUGCCAGCAGGAAGUCAGCUAGCAAAGAAGCCCCAAUGAUAUAGUCUACAGCAGGCAGCCUGCCAGGGUGCAGAGCAGGGUAGAAAAUGGAUCGGAAGGGCAAAGGUGAGGUAGAGUUGGGAGACUUACCUGAGGUCACAUAGUCAGCUUCACCUGAUUGUCAGGAAAGUAACCCUGUGAACCCUAGCUGGGGAGAAGAACCUAAAGGCAAGAGAGAGAACCGUUCUAUAGGACCCGGGAGGAUUUGCCAUCAUCUGAAGGAAGACUGAAUCUUGUCUGCUCUGGGGAGGCACGGAGGAGCCUGUGACUUGUGAGUUCCAGUAAUCAUUGUACAUCUCUGCUUCUGCCUUUGCCAAUGAGCCUGAUUUUAGGCAGAGAAAGAAGAUUCUGCCUAACAAAGUAGAGACAGGUAUCCUGGAGUUCAUGAAAGACGUGUAGCUGAUUCAGAGCCAUGUGAAGAAGGACAUGCUUGCUUCUUCUUCCACCAUCAUUGCAAGUUUCCUGAGGCCUCCCCAGCCCUGCAGAACCAUGAGUAAAUUAAACUUCUUUCCUUUAUAAAUUACCCAGUCUCGAGUAUGUCUUUGUCAGCAGCUGAAAAUGGACUAAUACACCUAGUCCAUGAGGAAUCAAUGCUUGCUGAUGAUGGGAGAGUCUUCCCAUUACGCCUGAAGCCAGCCUUGAUGACAGUUUAAUACAGU
This 812-nucleotide long non-coding RNA is filed under the name Homo sapiens (human). RNAcentral describes it as "non-protein coding lnc-JMJD1C-2:6". Lineage: Eukaryota; Metazoa; Chordata; Mammalia; Primates; Hominidae. The record is from RNAcentral.